Molecule: transfer RNA, 69 nt
Filed under: Ictidomys tridecemlineatus (thirteen-lined ground squirrel)
Lineage: Eukaryota; Metazoa; Chordata; Mammalia; Rodentia; Sciuridae
Description: Spermophilus tridecemlineatus (thirteen-lined ground squirrel) tRNA
Rfam family: tRNA
About the family: Transfer RNA (tRNA) molecules are approximately 80 nucleotides in length.
Source: Rfam by way of RNAcentral
GGGGUUGAGGCUCAGUGGUAGAGCGCUUAUCUUGCAGACAUGAGGCCCUGGGUUCAAUUCUCAGCACCA